This 254-nucleotide small RNA is filed under the name Arabidopsis thaliana (thale cress). RNAcentral describes it as "ATSL265890". Lineage: Eukaryota; Viridiplantae; Streptophyta; Magnoliopsida; Brassicales; Brassicaceae. The record is from RNAcentral.
AUGGAUUAUGUUUAUCCAUUACUUCCUCCCUAAGAUAUGGAUGAUGUUUAUCCAUUACUUCUUCCCUAAAUAAUUUACUUCCUAGCUAAGUAAACUCUUCUAUAUAUAGUUCGUUUCAUUCAUUUGUAAGUUACAAAGGAAAGAGAAGAGAAAGAGAAAGCAAUAAGAAAACUCUUGUUUUGAGUUGUACUCUCUCUAGUCCUCAUUCUUCUUUCUUAUUUUAAUCUUUUAUAACAACCAUAAAUUUUCAUCAU